AUAUUUUAAGGCAGAGCGAAUAAGAGUCUUGUUUGCAUUUAAUUUAACUUGGGCCUGAGCAUUUCUCAACCUUCUUCUAAGAAAGGAUAGCUUCCUUACGCUUUUUUGCAGAUGGUGUCAAUAUGAGGUUCCCAACUCAAGUUUGCUGAAAGCGUGACUCCAAGAAAGAUGUCCCCGGCGGAACUUUCUUACCAACCAGCACCUGCUCCGAGAGAGGGUAUGGUGAGUGGGGUGCCCGCAGCGACGUCACACUGUUUACAAACAGAAAGAGGUUUAUUGCCAACAGCACAUUCACCAAAACAAUCCUGAUACAAAAGAAUUUUCUGACCCCGAAGACGUAAGGCUGCACUGGUUUGAACUUAUUUUUUUGGAGUAUGUGGAAGACUGGAAGGAAGCCAGCUUACAGGAGAACUUUUUAAGCAAGGAAACAUACCGUGCACUAGUCUUUACAACCGUAUCAAGUGUAGAGUGCAUAAGAUUUCUUUUGAACGAGUGCAACUUUUAGUUUCUACAAGAAAGUUUUCUAGAGACCCAAUAGAAUCCUUUUUUGGAUUUUUGAUACGAACGGUAGGCUGCAACGACGUCAUAGACGUGCGAACUGCCCUUUGUGGAGUAGAGAAGAUGCUGAAGACAGGAAUCGUUGCAGCAUCACAGAAAAGUAACGUGAGCAGUUCUGCAUCAUUCUGCUCUUCGCGAGCAGUAACUUUCGCUCAAGUGGAUGGCAGCACAGUCGCAGUAUCUGUAAAUGUGAAGCUUGCUCAGCAAUCACUUUGAGAACUGUGCAUGUUGACAAGCAGCUUCAUACCUUCUCCAUACAUGGCUGCCAUUGCACUUGUCGCUGGAUACAUAUCUCGUGUAGUGAGCGAAAAAGCUGUGUGUGACAGUUGCAUAUCUUUAGUCCAGAAGCCGAAAGGGGACUAUGGUAUAGAUGGGCUGAUCGCACACCAAGACAGAGGUGGUCUGUUCUAUCCUACAUAGCAGCUUAUCAGAGUAUUGCAUGCUCCUAAGCAGUAUGUAGAUAUUAUGCUGCCCGACCGCAAAUCUCUGCGAAAGCCUCCUGAGGAGUGCAUGAAGCACAGCGUCAAUAUUGUGACAAAUGUACCUGUGUUGCGAUGUGAUCAAUGUGAUGAAAGCCGCAGGAGAAGUUUUGUGGAAUUGACAUGCAAGAAAUUUAUGAAACCAUUGCUUUUUAACCACGCAUUGGACAUCACUGACCAAAAUGCAGUGGCCAAAUUACAUUAAAAAAGCCAAUGUCGCAGGAAGUGCUUUAAUUUCGAAUAGUUUGUAUUGAGUGAUGCAUCUGGUUUCUCUUUGCCUUUUUAUGCGUGCAUAUGUGCUUCAUCAACAGUGCCUUUCCUACAAGCUGAUAAGUUUGUUUUAUGUUCAGUGCUCAUUGUAUGAAAGUGGUGCUUCUGCUUUUUUCACUUUUUUUAUGAAUGGAGUUUAAUUUUGUUUCCUAUAAGACCAUGUCUUUCAGUAGGAAGCAUUUUCUUGCCUAGCUGAGAUAUUUUUCGUGCGUUUAUUUUAUUGAUGCUAAGUCAUUGUUUGAUUUGAAGAAUGUUGAAAUAACAUCACUUGCCUGUUUCUUUUGUCUUUUUAAACUCAUGUGCAAACACAUUGAUUGUUUUCCCUUGUUAAUUUUCUGUUUUAUGCACUUAUAUGUAUGUGUAGUACCACGCUGCCAAGAUCAUGUAGAAGGUUGCAAUAUUUAAAUAGAAAUGAAUUGAAUAAAUUCAUCAUACUGGCUCUUUUCUUCCA
Rhipicephalus microplus (southern cattle tick) is the source of this 1758-nucleotide long non-coding RNA. The record is from RefSeq and is a predicted model, not a curated record. NCBI's taxonomy places the organism in Eukaryota, Metazoa, Arthropoda, Arachnida, Ixodida, Ixodidae.